This 968-nucleotide long non-coding RNA is filed under the name Trifolium pratense (red clover). RNAcentral's name for it is "long non-coding RNA (TPRA_LNC003442)". The record is from RNAcentral. Lineage: Eukaryota; Viridiplantae; Streptophyta; Magnoliopsida; Fabales; Fabaceae.
CUGAGUGUCUAGUUAUACAUACCCCUUAAAAAAGACAUUUUUUUAAUAAUUUAAAAAAGGACAUGAACUUUUAAUUAUCAUUAAUAGUCCUGUCUUAAGUAAAAUUAAUUUCUACUGGAAUGAGUUUGUUUCACAAAACAUUCAAGAUGUGUGUGAGACAUGACAGAAGCAAAGAACUAUGCCAAAAUAGAUAUUUCUGAUUAUGUAUUUUCUUUUCUACUUUUCAUUUGUAUGAUUUUGAGACAACACAUAUAUCAGAUACUCAAACAGUUGCUAGGGGGAGGGAGGCAAGAGAGAGAGAAAGAGAUUUUACAUGUCCACCUCUUGAAGAUGUUACUAUACAUACACAUAUUCAAUUACUGCUAUUUGCUAUAGUGACUAUGCUCAAAUAGUGCAAGUUUGCAUUGAGCUAUAGCUAGGUAGAUACAUAUAUAUAACACCUAAAACUAAAAACUAAUUUAGUGCAUAUUUGAAAUCACGGUGGCGUCGCAAUUUUAUUGAAGUUCUGUAACGUAGUUUUUGCCAAAAAUCACAGUGAUUCAUUGUGAUUAUACUAUACUCACCGUCAAUUCAAACAUGCAAUAAUACUAAAAAAAAGGUACUUUUGCCUAAGCGUACUUAUGCCAAUUAAGAAGCAUAGAGAUACACAUCCUCAUAAUAUAAAACUUCCCUUGUUGUUGCCUCACCAUUCUUCUCCACUUGCCAAUUCUUCUACUCAUGUUUUCCAUCAUUUUGAGUCUCUACUAACCCUUUGCGCACAAUUUAUUGAAGUUAAAAAAUCCCAUCUGGCAGGAAACAAUGUGCUUGUUGAAUUCACAUUUGAAAUUUCCAAUUCCUCAAUAUCCAAUGCCAAGGCUCCACUUGUACUUAUAUGUGACACCAAUACACGUGCUUUUUCUAUUUCCUAAUUUAAUCUUAAAUGCAUAGUUUUCAGUUAAAUCAUGCCGGCAAUUAGUGAUUGUCACUUC